UACACACGUGUUACAAUGGUCGGUACAGAGGGCAGGCUACCUGGUGACAGGAUGCUAAUCUCGAAAACCGGUCUCAGUUCGGAUCGAAGUCUGCAACUCGACUUCGUGAAGCUGGAUUCGCUAGUAAUCGCGCAUCAGCUAUGGCGCGGUGAAUACGUUCCCGGGCCUU
This 169-nucleotide ribosomal RNA is filed under the name uncultured Sphingobacteriales bacterium. RNAcentral's name for it is "partial 16S ribosomal RNA". It matches the Rfam family "Bacterial small subunit ribosomal RNA", at positions 1215 to 1382 of the family's 1533-position model. The record is from RNAcentral. Lineage: Bacteria; Pseudomonadati; Bacteroidota; Sphingobacteriia; Sphingobacteriales.